AGCCCUGGUAGGCUAGUAGUUAAAGUCUGGUGCUCCCACUUCAGCAGCUGUGGUUUAUUUCCCAGUCACAGAACCACACCACCCGUCUGUCAGUUGCCAUGCUGUGGCCGCAGCUCACAUAGCAGAACUAGAAGGAGGUACAACUAGGAUAUACAACCAUGCACUGGGGCUUUGGGGAGAAGAAUAAGAAGAA
Molecule: non-coding RNA, 193 nt
Organism: Ceratotherium simum simum (southern white rhinoceros)
Lineage: Eukaryota; Metazoa; Chordata; Mammalia; Perissodactyla; Rhinocerotidae
Source: RefSeq, a predicted model, not a curated record